This 117-nucleotide non-coding RNA is filed under the name Pan paniscus (pygmy chimpanzee). The record is from Rfam by way of RNAcentral. Lineage: Eukaryota; Metazoa; Chordata; Mammalia; Primates; Hominidae. RNAcentral also lists the same sequence under 1 other name.
GCCAGGCGUGGUGGCUCACGCCUGUAAUCCCAGCACUUUGGGAGGCCAAGGCGGGUGGAUCACCUGAGGUCAGGAGUUCAAGACCAGCCUGACCAACAUGGUGAAACCCCGUCUCUA